CGUGUAGGCGGUUUUAUAAGUCUGAUGUGAAAGCCCCGGGCUCAACCUGGGAAGUGCAUUGGAUACUGUAAGACUUGAAUACGGGAGAGGGUAGUGGAAUUCCUGGUGUAGGAGUGAAAUCCGUAGAUAUCAGGAGGAACACCGGUGGCGAAGGCGGCUGCCUGGACCGAUAUUGACGCUGAGACGCGAAAGCGUGGGUAGCAAACA
This 207-nucleotide ribosomal RNA is filed under the name uncultured delta proteobacterium. RNAcentral describes it as "partial 16S ribosomal RNA". It matches the Rfam family "Bacterial small subunit ribosomal RNA", at positions 568 to 774 of the family's 1533-position model. The record is from RNAcentral. Lineage: Bacteria; Deltaproteobacteria.